Molecule: ribosomal RNA, 440 nt
Filed under: uncultured bacterium
Lineage: Bacteria
Description: partial 16S ribosomal RNA
Rfam family: Bacterial small subunit ribosomal RNA
Source: RNAcentral
CCUACGGGAGGCUGCAGUGGGGGAUAUUGCACAAUGGGGGAAACCCUGAUGCAGCGACGCCGCGUGUAGGAAGACGGUCCUCUGGAUUGUAAACUACUGUCCCCAGGGACGAAGAUGACGGUACCUGGGGAGGAAGCUCCGGCUAACUACGUGCCAGCAGCCGCGGUAAUACGUAGGGAGCGAGCGGUGUCCGGAAUUACUGGGUGUAAAGGGAGCGUAGGCGGGGAUGCAAGUUGGGGGUUAAAUCUACCGGCUAAACUGGUAGUCGCAAUUAAAACUGCAGCUCUUGAGUGAAGUAGAGGCAGGCGGAAGUCCUAGUGUAGCGGUGAAAUGCGUAGAUAUUAGGAGGAACACCAGUGGCGAAGGCGGCCUGCUGGGCUUUUACUGACGCUGAGGCUCGAAAGUGUGGGGAGCAAACAGGAUUAGAUACCCCGGUAGUC